CAGUUAUGUAACUCUGCCGGUGGAUCGGAUACAUUUUAUGUGUGAUAAAUUGUAACCAUUCUAAAACACGCAUGCGCCGUGUGAGAGCUUUAGGACAGCCAGUCGCCGCUGUGGUACUCGCGCAGCACUGUGGUGGUGGUGGUGCUAGAACGCCAGGAGAGCCAGCGAGGGGAAUCAAGGGACGAUGUCACUGGAGAGGUGUCAAACUGACUGGGAAGAAAUCGACAAAGAAUAUCAGCAGUUACAGGAAACGCACAAGGUAUACCGACAGAAGUUGGAUGAGCUGACGAGUCUACAAGCAGUAUGCAGCAGUGCCAUAAGCAAACAGAGGAAAGGACUGAAGGACAUCAAACUCAGUCUACACAAAUGCACUCCGACAUCAGAUGAGAAAGAGUCCGAACAGAUAAGGGACAUCCAGACGCAAAUCAAAGAGAAGCAAAAUGUCUUCUUUGAUAUGGAAGCGUAUUUGCCAAAGAAGAACGGACUGUACUUAAACCUGGUCCUGGGAAAUGUGAAUGUAACCCUUCUCAGUAAUCAGGCAAAAUUUGCCUACAAAGACGAAUACGAGAAGUUCAAACUUAUCAUGACAAUUAUUCUGAUGUUUGGAGCCAUGACCUGUCUAUUCCUUCUCAAUUAUCGUGUCACAGAUGAAAUCUUCAAUUUUUUACUCGUGUGGUACUAUUGUACGCUGACGAUAAGGGAGAGUAUUCUGAUCAAUAAUGGGUCACGAAUUAAAGGGUGGUGGGUGUUGCAUCAUUAUGUGUCUACGUUCCUCUCAGGGGUCAUGUUGACAUGGCCAGAGGGGUCCAUGUAUCAGAUGUUUAGGAGCCAGUUUCUGGCCUUCUCCAUCUAUCAGAGUUUUUUACAGUUUCUCCAGUACUACUACCAGAGUGGCUGUCUGUACAGGCUGCGGGCGCUGGGAGAGAGAAAUCAGCUGGACCUGACCGUGGAGGGUUUCCAGUCGUGGAUGUGGAGGGGGCUCACCUUCCUGCUGCCCUUCCUCUUCUUCGGCCACUUCUGGCAGCUGUACAACGCCAUCACCCUCUUCAAACUAGCAAGCCAUGAAGACUGCAAGGAGUGGCAGGUGUUCAUGUUGGCUCUGACGUUCCUGGUGCUGUUCCUGGGAAACUUCCUCACCACGCUGAAGGUGGUGCACCAGAAGGUCCAGAAGAACAAGGAGAAGCCCAGGAAGGCAGACUGAAGAAGAGAGAGAAAAGGAACCUGGAGGAGGACGAGAAGAAUGAUGGAUGGAUGGAUGGCAGAUGUGGAGAGAAUGACAAAAGACCAACAAAGAGGUGUGCCAGAAAAGCGUCAUUUUGAGCAGAUGUGGAGAAGAGAGAAGAGAAGAGAGAAGAAGACGACAAGGCAGUGGGUUGGGGAUGAACUCUGAAUGAACAAGAGGGGUGAGAAACGAGCACCAAAUUGUUGCCAUCAACUAGGACCGAGACCACUACCUGACACAACACAACUCAUGAAGAAAAAUCAAGAAGAAACGGGAAGGGAUCUGUGGCCAGAUUGGGUGGGCUUGGGGAGAUGACACGUGUGUGUGUGUGUGUGUGUGUGUGUGUGUGUCUGUGUCUGUGUCUGUGUCUGUGUCUGUGUAUGCG
Engraulis encrasicolus (European anchovy) is the source of this 1607-nucleotide RNA transcript. It is a transcript of the gene named transmembrane protein 120B, with no coding region annotated. NCBI's taxonomy places the organism in Eukaryota, Metazoa, Chordata, Actinopteri, Clupeiformes, Engraulidae. The record is from RefSeq and is a predicted model, not a curated record. The transcript is spliced from 13 exons.